This is a long non-coding RNA of Crotalus tigris (Tiger rattlesnake), 452 nucleotides long. RefSeq lists it as uncharacterized. Lineage: Eukaryota; Metazoa; Chordata; Lepidosauria; Squamata; Viperidae. The transcript has 4 exons. The record is from RefSeq and is a predicted model, not a curated record.
CUGGAAGGUUCCAGCUACACACACACGCAACUUCUCUGACCUUCCUUCCCGGUAUAUGCAAAGGCCCUUGCCACUCGACGGGCUUCCAGACGGCAAGCGUGGAAGUCGAAGCCCGUAUUCAUUGGGACUAGCCUGAGGAGAUGUUCAAGGUUCUGCUAUGAAGCAUCUUGCCAGUAAUUCCAUCAAUCAUCAGCUGUGGAUUGUAUCUCACCUGGAUAAUGCACAGUACCAGAAACUGAAAUGCAUUCAGCUCCAUCUCAACUCUAUCUCAUUAGUUGGUUUUAUAAAUGCAACUUCUCCUUAGCUUCAGUUCUCCUCAUCUAAAUGAUUAAGGAAAAUAGAUCAGUACUGUAAAUGGCAUCUUAUAUCUUCUCCUGAUUCCACUCAACUCCCUUUUAGAGAGGGGGAGGAAUAUGACAUCAUCUAUCUCCAGCCUACAACACAGUCCUUUC